GUUGGCAAUGGUUUAGCCUAUAGGGAGAGGUUUUGUGUUUCUUUGUUACCAUGACUGCAGUUGGACGUCUCAGUUUCCUCGCUUUGCUGUGUUGCGAUGCUUCCAGCCCGUCUGUCUCUCUUGCGGUGGCGAGAGCCGUGGGCCUUGUGGUGACGGUGGCUCUGUCUGGGCAUCCGAACCCCCACAAACAGAGUCCUGUGACCUGAAAGAAGACAGAGGAGAGAAACGUGUCUCACCCCACUGAUGAUACCAAUAUUGUUUAACAUGGAGUUUAAGUGGAUAUUCAGCACUGAGCUCGUCCCUCCCUGGUCCACAACCACCUCCUCAUCCGGCCUCUAAUGGACAGACAGAGACACACAAAAAAUGUG
Molecule: long non-coding RNA, 368 nt
Organism: Notolabrus celidotus (New Zealand spotty)
Lineage: Eukaryota; Metazoa; Chordata; Actinopteri; Labriformes; Labridae
Exons: 3
Source: RefSeq, a predicted model, not a curated record